UAAGGUCACGCCAAGAGGAAAUAUUAAGCGAAAUGAAGCGUCAUUUUAUUGGCUCAUCACCAUCAAGGUUAGAAGUACUACACCUUUAAAUGAUAAAUUCAAUUAUAAUCUUUUUUUUUAGCAAAAUCCACUAGGUAGUGUGCCUAGGGCUAUUUUAUAAAUAUCUAAAAGUAAAAGCAAACAUGUUUGGAGGUCUUACAAAAUGUAACAAAUAAACUUUGCAAGCUACUACUAUCCUAAAAUUAUACUGAAACCUAGCAUUAUUACAUAUGCUAAGUAUUAGCCUUUGAAGCCUUCUGAACCAAUGUGCAUCAUACUGAAUCUAGCGUUAUUACAUAUGCUAAGUAUUAGCCUUUGAAGCCUUCUGAACCAAUGUGCAUGCAUUUUGCAUCCAUAGCCACUUUUGACUUGUACGAUCAUAUCCAUUGUGAUUGUUUUGGCUUGUUUGAUUCCCUUCUUGCUGCUGUAGAAACACUUGAUUUCCCCAGAUGAUAUGUAUGUUUUCCCAUGAUUGUCUGCAUUUCAUGAAUUUACCUGUAAUAGUCCAGUCUUCAUAUUUGAGUCCUGCUAUGUGA
This 575-nucleotide long non-coding RNA is filed under the name Nicotiana benthamiana. RNAcentral describes it as "long non-coding RNA (NBEN_LNC028622)". The record is from RNAcentral. Lineage: Eukaryota; Viridiplantae; Streptophyta; Magnoliopsida; Solanales; Solanaceae.